UGCUGUGUAUGAUGAUUUGGAAAUAUCAAUGGGAAUCUCUCUGAACAAUAAUGAGGGAACUCUUUACACUGAAUCAGUA
Xenopus tropicalis (tropical clawed frog) is the source of this 79-nucleotide small nucleolar RNA. Its record names the gene SNORD79. It matches the Rfam family "Small nucleolar RNA SNORD79". Rfam says of the family: snoRNA U79 or Z22 is found in intron 7 of the gas5 gene in humans and is also present in mice. NCBI's taxonomy places the organism in Eukaryota, Metazoa, Chordata, Amphibia, Anura, Pipidae. The record is from Ensembl.